Molecule: long non-coding RNA, 2061 nt
Organism: Drosophila novamexicana
Lineage: Eukaryota; Metazoa; Arthropoda; Insecta; Diptera; Drosophilidae
Exons: 2
Source: RefSeq, a predicted model, not a curated record
UCAUGAAGUCGGGUACUUAAUUUCAUCCGAGAAAUGGGCCAAGAGCUGCCGGGUCAUGUUCAAGUAUGUUGCAAGGGCUGCAGUUGACACCAACUUAUAAACUGAUUUUCCCUUCGACUUGACAUUAUUCGAACGUUGCUGGAAGGCACCUCCUUAUCCAACUUAACCACCUCGUUCUCCAUAACGCUUUAAUUUGAGGUUGAGAGGUUGCCUCUUGUAAUAAGGUAAGGCAAAUUUAAGCGCAGUCAUUCGACAAACAUCGACAAGGACUUAGUCGAGCUGAGUUACUCAUAAAUCCUGCCUGCCUUUCUGGCAGUAGGCAAAGCUAUUUUAGCUCAACUCGCAGUUGGCCAGAACUUUAUUUGGUUAUUUUAAGUUAAUAGCCGGCUCGAACUCUAGUUUUUGAAUUUAAACAAACUAGUUGUUCUUUCGAGCCAACAUAAUUGGAGAGCUCUCCAGCAUACUUUUUCAGGGCUUAAAUUCUUUUGUAACUUUAACUAAACUUGUUCUAGUUUGGGUGUGGAAAGUCCUCCUUUGGAUUAAGCGUGUGUGAAACUGAACCAUUUCAUUGGCGACUGAUGAUAGCACUGUGUGGCCUUUGCUCCUGGCUGUUGACGUGCCACAUGCCUCUCAUAGAGGCUUCUGCUUAUUCCUGCUGCUUCUGCUUACCCAUUUUGGAUUAUGCCAACACUUUUAUGGCAUGUCCUAUGAAGAUUCUCAAGCAUACCUUUCUCUGGAAACUGUGCCCCGCCCCAACCCACCUGAACGGCAGAAGAAGUGUAGCUGUGCGUCUGUCAGCCAGUCUUCAAUCUCUUUUGUGCCUCGCAUUUCAGCUUUUCUGGCACACGAGCCACAAACUGCUAAUUUGGUUUGAUGUAUUGCCCCAGAGACAUCCAUCAGCAGUUGAAGCCAAAACUGACGCUGACGCUGACGCAGACGUUCUCUCUCGGAGCUACACAUUCAACAAUGUUUUGGAGGGCCAAAACGUGUCUCGACUGUCUGGGACAACAAUUGUUUAUGGAAUAUUUUGAGUAGAUAUUUUCCGGCUUCCUACUCUUUGAGCUUGCAUUCGGAGAAUGUUUGCUACUUGCUGGUAUUUAUAUUUUCCAGACGAAAGGAGGAUUUAUGCUGAUCUAAUCUAAAAGCUAUAUAUACUAAUUUUGGCAGAUAGGCUAUCAUAUAAUAUUAUAUUAUAAUCGACAUUCAGAUUUACAAAAUCUGAGAUGCUUUAGACCUAUGCCCUGAAGUUGUCAAAAGCAGAAGAAGGUACUUCAAAAAGUAUAUUCCAUAUGUAUAUCAAAGGAAGCAGGCAGCUCGACGUUGCGCUUAGGGUAUCUCUAAUGUCGGCACUCCCGACUAUUUUUAUUUGCAACAAAUCCGAGUUUUAAGCUUAUUUGAAAAGUGCUUGAAGCCGCACUGUCAAAUUACGACAUGCUGCUGAAUAGAAGAUGAGUCGGAUAAAGACCCUUUCCCUUUUUCUAGUCUCUUUGCAGCGGAAUGUAGGAGGACAACAACCACAGUGUUCCUCCAGUCUUCUGCUUUGAAGAUGUGUCGCCAUUGUCGUCGUCUGUGGCCGCGAUGUCACCGCGAACGGAAGCCAUGAAUCACACUUGCAGCUUAGCAUUCCUGCGCUGCGGAUGCCUUUGUGGUGGUGGUCUCCGCUGGCAACGGACACGGACCUGGCGCAGUUCUUGCCAAUUUUUGACUGAAUUUUUGGAAUAUCACAGAGCAGCGCAGAACAACGGGCAUGGACGUGGAAUAAUUAACUGACGAGUGGAUUGUGAAUUACCUAGGAUUACUUUACUCAAACAGAUUAACGCUACUUCGCUUUUUUAACAACAAAAAAUAUGCCGGACUAGAGUAUACUACGUGAACAGGUUUAUUAUGAACUUUCGCUCAUGCAUCUUUUGGAUUUUCUGAAAAGUGUACAACACUUUUCCAAAUGAACUUGAGGACAGAUCUAAGCUUGAGUCCGAUUGGGAGGUAGAUCCAACAGGUACACACAAGUUCUUCCUCAGCUUCAUCUUACCCCUAAUUAAUAAAAUAAAUAAAACAUUUCAA